CGCCGCCAGACAGUUUUUUUAUCUGAGCGUCUUUAAUUCAAUUUUUGGACACAUAUUUUUCAUUUAUUUUUAAUGGAUUCUAGUAAAAUAAUUAAUGGUAAAAUUUUUAAUAUUUGCCUUGGCUAUUCUGUUCGUAAUUUAGACAUAAUGUCUAACUUACUUAACGAAGUGCACCAACUAGAAGGUGCCCCAAGAAUACCUAAGUUUUGUCACAGAGCCCCGCGGAAGUGCGUUUAACCAGGAAGUUCACGCCUCCUUGCUUACCGUGAAGCGAAAAUAUGCCCAGAACUCGUUUCGAAUCUGGAUCUCCUGCUUAUUAAGCAAGUGCUGUAACCACGGCGUCACGGCCGCCAUUUAUGUACUUUCAAUUACAUAUUUCGAUUUCUUAAUUGCAUCUUGUAUUUCUCAACACAUAUUAAAAUUUUUUAAUUAAA
Molecule: long non-coding RNA, 434 nt
Organism: Hydra vulgaris (swiftwater hydra)
Lineage: Eukaryota; Metazoa; Cnidaria; Hydrozoa; Anthoathecata; Hydridae
Source: RefSeq, a predicted model, not a curated record